RNAcentral lists this non-coding RNA (37 nucleotides) under unclassified sequences. Its description in RNAcentral is "L19-Flavobacteria ribosomal protein leader". It matches the Rfam family "L19-Flavobacteria ribosomal protein leader". The record is from RNAcentral.
UAACCUCUGACGAGAAAAGAGUAGCUCGUGAAUGUUA